UGCAACAACAGUGCUACAAAUGGAGC
This 26-nucleotide non-coding RNA is filed under the name Homo sapiens (human). Lineage: Eukaryota; Metazoa; Chordata; Mammalia; Primates; Hominidae. The record is from RNAcentral.